RNAcentral lists this ribosomal RNA (391 nucleotides) under Scorpio kruglovi. Its description in RNAcentral is "partial 16S ribosomal RNA". Lineage: Eukaryota; Metazoa; Arthropoda; Arachnida; Scorpiones; Scorpionidae. The record is from RNAcentral.
CUAAAUCAUUAGUCUUUUAAUUUUAGACUGGUAUGAAUGGUUAGACUAGGUAAUUUUGUCUUGUAAUAAUAUUUCAAAUUUUAUAUUUUAGUAAAAAAGCUAAAAUUUUUUUUAGGGACGAGAAGACCCUGUCAAAACUUUACAAACUAGGUCAUUGUUCUUAAAAUGAUUAAAAUUUGUUUUACUGGGGCAGUAGGUAAUAAAAUUUUAUUUAUAUAUUGUGAUAAUAAGUUUUGUCAAAUCAGGAAAUUCCUAAAGAAAAAAUAAGUUACUGCAGGGAUAACAGCGUAAUUCUUUUUUAGAGUUCUUAUCAUCAUUAGAGUUUGCGAACCUCGAUGUUGGAUUAAAAUACCUAAUUCAUGCAAUAGGAGAAAAGGAAGUCUGUCGCUUA